UGGGGAAUAUUGGACAAUGGGCGCAAGCCUGAUCCAGCAAUGCCGCGUGAGUGAUGAAGGCCUUAGGGUUGUAAAGCUCUUUCGCACGCGACGAUGAUGACGGUAGCGUGAGAAGAAGCCCCGGCUAACUUCGUGCCAGCAGCCGCGGUAAUACGAAGGGGGCUAGCGUUGUUCGGAAUUACUGGGCGUAAAGGGCGCGUAGGCGGCCUGUUUAGUCAGAAGUGAAAGCCCCAGGGCUCAACCUGGGAAUAGCUUUUGAUACUGGCAGGCUUGAGUUCCGGAGAGGAUGGUGGAAUUCCCAGUGUAGAGGUGAAAUUCGUAGAUAUUGGGAAGAACACCGGUGGCGAAGGCGGCCAUCUGGACGGACACUGACGCUGAGGCGCGAAAGCGUGGGGAGCAAACAGGAUUAGAUACCCUGUAGUCCACGCCGUAAACGAUGAAUGCUAGACGUCGGGGUGCAUGCACUUCGGUGUCGCCGCUAACGCAUUAAGCAUUCCGCCUGGGGAGUACGGCCGCAAGGUUAAAACUCAAAUGAAUUGACGGGGUCAU
Molecule: ribosomal RNA, 549 nt
Filed under: uncultured bacterium
Lineage: Bacteria
Description: partial 16S ribosomal RNA
Rfam family: Bacterial small subunit ribosomal RNA
Source: RNAcentral